UUUCAUUAUUUUAACGUGCUGUAAAAUAAAUUUUGGACUAUUUAAUAACUAAAAGCACAAACAAAACAAACAACAACGAUCCGAGUAGUCGUUACCAAAGACGUAAAAAAAAAAAAUCAAAUCGUAAUCAAAUUGUAAACAGUUCUCUCUCUCGUUCCGUUCACUCCUCCGUUUGAUUUAAUUUUUGUUUUAACAAAAAAAUAAUACACAUAAAAAAGAAAACCAAAGAAGGAAAAUUUAUAUUGAAAGGACACGGAAAAAUGGCAGAGACACAGGGUAUAAAUAUAAACGAGCGUUUCCAACGCUUUGUGAAUGGACUCAGCGAUAGAUAUGAGCCAUAUGUACGCCAGCAUCUGUCCAAGGUGUAUAUGGUCUUGGGCAGCACCUCGGCGGCCACAGCAAUCGGAGCCGCAUGCCAGAUGCGAGAUUAUCUAGAUCUUGGCAUAUUGGCAGCUAUUGCCACAUUGGUCCUGGUCUUGGGUCUCCAUUUCUACAAGGAUGAUGGCAAAAACUAUUACACACGCCUCAGUAUGCUAUAUGCAUUUGGCUUCUGCUCUGGCCAGACAUUGGGUCCACUAUUGGGCUAUAUUGCCAGCAUUAAUCCGGCCAUUAUCCUGACUGCCCUCACCGGCACCUUUGUCACAUUUGUAUCCCUCUCCCUGGCCGCUCUAUUGGCUGAGCAGGGCAAAUAUUUGUAUCUAGGUGGUAUGCUGGUGAGCGUCAUCAAUACCAUGGCCCUUUUAAGUCUCUUCAAUAUGAUCUUUAAAUCAUAUUUCGUUCAAGUGACUCAACUUUAUGUUGGGGUAUUCGUAAUGGCCGCUUUUAUUGUCUAUGACACCCAGAAUAUUGUGGAGAAAUGUCGCAAUGGCAAUCGGGAUGUUGUCCAACAUGCCCUGGAUCUGUUCUUUGAUGUGUUAAGCAUGUUCCGCCGUUUGCUGAUUAUCCUGACACAGAAGCUCAAAAACUUUAUGGUCUAAACACCAUGCAAAUUCCAAAAAUGAAAAAUCAUUAUCCUUAUUUGCCAUUGGAAACACUUUGCAAAAGUUUUGACAGACGCAAAAUUCCAAAAAAAAAAUAUUCCUUCUUUUGUGAAAUCAAACGGAGGAGCGAAAACAAAAUGAACGCCGCAAGAGGAACUAAGGCCAUAGUAACAACAUCUCUACUAAGCCCUAUAUACUAUCCAAUCAUCACCACCACCACCAACAACAACAACAACAACAAAUUGGCCAUAGAAGCAAAACCCGGUCUUAUGGCCAAGAAGAGUAAACAAAAACAAACCUAAAAAGAGAGAAUUAUUGUUUUUGCAAAUUACAUUUCUCCAAAAAUUUUAAAAAUAGAGCCGUGUAUAUUUUGGCUUUAAAUUACAUAUACAUUCAAGUUACACCACAUACAUAUAUACAUAUAUAAUAAUGAGUGAGCCACCCCGCCCCUCUACCAUCCUCCUUUAAUGGAGAAAAAAGCAGGAAAAGAAAAAGGGGCGGCCCUCUCCCACAAUCCCUCAACUGUUUAUAUCCAAACAAAAUUGAAGAAUAUAUACACUACACUAUGAUGAUGUUGUAUAAAGCAAAAAAAAAAAAAAGUAAUAAUAAAUUGAUUGAGUUGAGUUGAUUA
Drosophila willistoni is the source of this 1611-nucleotide RNA transcript. It is a transcript of the gene named bax inhibitor 1, with no coding region annotated. The transcript is spliced from 5 exons. The record is from RefSeq and is a predicted model, not a curated record. NCBI's taxonomy places the organism in Eukaryota, Metazoa, Arthropoda, Insecta, Diptera, Drosophilidae.